Molecule: ribosomal RNA, 468 nt
Filed under: uncultured bacterium
Lineage: Bacteria
Description: partial 16S ribosomal RNA
Rfam family: Bacterial small subunit ribosomal RNA
Source: RNAcentral
GACGAACGCUGGCGGCGUGCUUAACACAUGCAAGUCGAACGGAAAGGCCCUGCUUUUGUGGGGUGCUCGAGUGGCGAACGGGGGAGUAACACGUGAGUAACCUGCCCUUGACUUUGGGAUAACUUCAGGAAACUGGGGCUAAUACCGGAUAGGAGCUCCUGCUGCAUGGUGGGGGUUGGAAAGUUUCGGCGGUUGGGGAUGGACUCGCGGCUUAUCAGCUUGUUGGUGGGGUAGUGGCUUACCAAGGCUUUGACGGGUAGCCGGCCUGAGAGGGUGACCGGCCACAUUGGGACUGAGAUACGGCCCAGACUCCUACGGGAGGCAGCAGUGGGGAAUAUUGCACAAUGGGCGGAAGCCUGAUGCAGCAACGCCGCGUGCGGGAUGACGGCCUUCUGGUUGUAAACCGCUUUCGCCUGUGACGAAGCGUGAGUGACGGUAAUGGGUAAAGAAGCACCGGCUAACUACGUG